RNAcentral lists this ribosomal RNA (375 nucleotides) under uncultured organism. Its description in RNAcentral is "partial 16S ribosomal RNA". It matches the Rfam family "Bacterial small subunit ribosomal RNA", at positions 527 to 896 of the family's 1533-position model. The record is from RNAcentral.
GUAGGUGGCAAGCGUUGUCCGGAAUUAUUGGGCGUAAAGCGCGCGCAGGCGGUUCUUUAAGUCUGAUGUGAAAGCCCACGGCUCAACCGUGGAGGGUCAUUGGAAACUGGAGAACUUGAGUACAGAAGAGGAAAGCGGAAUUCCACGUGUAGCGGUGAAAUGCGUAGAGAUGUGGAGGAACACCAGUGGCGAAGGCGGCUUUCUGGUCUGUAACUGACGCUGGGGCGCGAAAGCGUGGGGAGCAAACAGGGAUUAGAUACCCUGGUAGUCCACGCCGUAAACGAUGGGUGCUAAGUGUUAGGGGGUUUCCCGCCCCCUUAGUGCUGCGGCUAACGCAUUAAGCACUCCGCCUGGGGGAGUACGGCCGCAAGGCUG